RNAcentral lists this ribosomal RNA (445 nucleotides) under soybean endophytic bacterium EN19. RNAcentral's name for it is "bacterial SSU rRNA". It matches the Rfam family "Bacterial small subunit ribosomal RNA", at positions 889 to 1334 of the family's 1533-position model. The record is from RNAcentral. RNAcentral also lists the same sequence under 1 other name.
CAAGGUUAAAACUCAAAUGAAUUGACGGGGGCCCGCACAAGCGGUGGAGCAUGUGGUUUAAUUCGAUGCAACGCGAAGAACCUUACCUACUCUUGACAUCCAGAGAACUUANCAGAGAUGCUUUGGUGCCUUCGGGAACUCUGAGACAGGUGCUGCAUGGCUGUCGUCAGCUCGUGUUGUGAAAUGUUGGGUUAAGUCCCGCAACGAGCGCAACCCUUAUCCUUUGUUGCCAGCGGUUAGGCCGGGAACUCAAAGGAGACUGCCAGUGAUAAACUGGAGGAAGGUGGGGAUGACGUCAAGUCAUCAUGGCCCUUACGAGUAGGGCUACACACGUGCUACAAUGGCGCAUACAAAGAGAAGCGACCUCGCGAGAGCAAGCGGACCUCAUAAAGUGCGUCGUAGUCCGGAUUGGAGUCUGCAACUCGACUCCAUGAAGUCGGAAUCG